UGAACCUUUACUAUAGCUUGACACUGAACACUGGUCCUUGAUGUGCAGGAUAGGUGGGAGGCUUUGAAGUGUGGACGCCAGUCUGCAUGGAGCCGUCCUUGAAAUACCACCCUUUAAUGGCUGGUGUUCUAACGUAGACCCGUGAACCGGGUUGCGGACAGUGUCUGGUGGGUAGUUUGACUGGGGCGGUCUCCUCCUAAAGCGUAACGGAGGAGCACGAAGGUUGGCUAAUCCUGGUCGGACAUCAGGAGGUUAGUGCAAUGGCAUAAGCCAGCUUGACUGCGAGCGUGACGGCGCGAGCAGGUGCGAAAGCAGGUCAUAGUGAUCCGGUGGUUCUGAAUGGAAGGGCCAUCGCUCAACGGAUAAAAGGUACUCCGGGGAUAACAGGCUGAUACCGCCCAAGAGUUCAUAUCGACGGCGGUGUUUGGCACCUCGAUGUCGGCUCAUCACAUCCUGGGGCUGAAGUAGGUCCCAAGGGUAUGGCUGUUCGCCAUUUAAAGUGGUACGCGAGCUGGGUUUAGAACGUCGUGAGACAGUUCGGUCCCUAUCUGCCGUGGGCGCUGGAGAACUGAGGGGGGCUGCUCCUAGUACGAGAGGACCGGAGUGGACGCAUCACUGGUGUUCGGGUUGUCAUGCCAAUGGCACUGCCCGGUAGCUAAAUGCGGAAGAGAUAAGUGCUGAAAGCAUCUAAGCACGAAACUUGCCCCG
This 708-nucleotide ribosomal RNA is filed under the name Salmonella enterica. RNAcentral's name for it is "partial 23S ribosomal RNA". It matches the Rfam family "Bacterial large subunit ribosomal RNA", at positions 2094 to 2801 of the family's 2925-position model. The record is from RNAcentral. Lineage: Bacteria; Pseudomonadati; Pseudomonadota; Gammaproteobacteria; Enterobacterales; Enterobacteriaceae.